Molecule: non-coding RNA, 339 nt
Organism: Pelodiscus sinensis (Chinese soft-shelled turtle)
Lineage: Eukaryota; Metazoa; Chordata; Testudines; Trionychidae
Source: RefSeq, a predicted model, not a curated record
GAAGGACGCUGUGAUAGAGGCCCACGUCAGGGAGCUGGCGGAAGGCACCAGGAGGGCCCAGGACACUCUGCAGACCCGGCUGCACGUCCCUUACGGGGACAGUGAUGGGGAGAAACUGGACAUGUACUUACCCACGGAACCCUCCGGAGCCUUCCCGCUCCUCCUGUACAUCCACGGGGGCUACUGGCAGUUUUUAAGGUGAGGCAAGUCCCGUUCUGGGAGCUGUGGAAGGGGCCAGGAGGGUAGCUCUGCCUGGGCUGGGUGCUGCAGGGCCUCCAGGCAGACCACCCCUGCCCUGGGAGCCCCCCCGUGGCUGGCGGGCCCUGGGGCUGCUGGGCU